RNAcentral lists this ribosomal RNA (468 nucleotides) under uncultured bacterium. RNAcentral describes it as "partial 16S ribosomal RNA". It matches the Rfam family "Bacterial small subunit ribosomal RNA", at positions 28 to 507 of the family's 1533-position model. The record is from RNAcentral.
GACGAACGCUGGCGGCGUGCUUAACACAUGCCAGUCGAACGGAAAGGCCCUGCUUUUGUGGGGUGCUCGAGUGGCGAACGGGUGAGUAACACGUGAGUAACCUGCCCUUGACUUUGGGAUAACUUCAGGAAACUGGGGCUAAUACCGGAUAGGAGCUCCUGCUGCAUGGUGGGGGUUGGAAAGUUUCGGCGGUUGGGGAUGGACUGGCGGGUUAUCAGCUUGUUGGUGGGGUAGUGGCUUACCCAGGCUUUGACGGGUAGCCGGCCUGAGAGGGUGACCGGCGACAUGGGGACUGAGAGACGGCCCAGACUGCUACGGGAGGCAGCAGGGGGGAAUAUUGCACAAUGGGCGGAAGCCUGAUGCAGCAACGCCGCGUGCGGGAUGACGGCCUUCGGGUUGUAAACCGCUUUCGCCUGUGACGAAGCGUGAGUGACGGUAAUGGGUAAAGAAGCACCGGCUAACUACGUG